UACAAACUGAAGCGCUGAACAAAGGACUGAAUGACCCAUUCAAGCUGUGGAUGUACUCCAGAGACUUGACAUAAGCCAGCAGCUUAUUCCAUCACUGCAACAAGCCUGAACCAAGAACUUUGCCAUUACUAUAUAGGGGCAGUGAGAUUAUAUGG
Molecule: non-coding RNA, 155 nt
Organism: Chelonoidis abingdonii (Abingdon island giant tortoise)
Lineage: Eukaryota; Metazoa; Chordata; Testudines; Testudinidae
Source: RefSeq, a predicted model, not a curated record